This 261-nucleotide long non-coding RNA is filed under the name Vitis vinifera (wine grape). RNAcentral describes it as "long non-coding RNA (VVIN_LNC007997)". Lineage: Eukaryota; Viridiplantae; Streptophyta; Magnoliopsida; Vitales; Vitaceae. The record is from RNAcentral.
GAGUAUCAGAAAAGGGUUCAAUCAGUGUGACUAAAUGACAAUGGUAGAAUCCGAGCGAAUACAGAAAAAUCGUAAAAUCCCGGCGAAUACCAGGAAAUGGUAGAAUCCGUGCGAGUACCGGAAAAUUGUCCGGGCGAGUACCGGAAAAGGGUUGAAUCAGUGUGACUAAAUGAAAAUGGUAGAAUCCGAGCGAAUAAGGAAAAAUCGUAAAAUCCCAACGAAUACCGGGAAAUGGUAGAAUCCGUGCGAGUACCGAAAAAC